UGAGUUGUUGAUAAGUGUGGUGUUCCGUGUUGUCAAGAGUCUUAUCGUUAGCGGUUAGGAUCAGGGUUAUAGGAGGUCCAACUCUACCCACUGGACAUUUGGUCCCACGGGUUGAGAGGCACUGUGUUAUAUUGUGUUACUAACAAGAAAUUUCACACACUGAAGGCCUGUAUCACCAUUAUCACCACAUGUCGUGUGACAUUUCAGGUCUUGCUGUGAAAAAGAGGACCCCUACUCUCCACUACAGUGCGCACUUAUCAGAGCCCAGCUGUUCUGUCAACUGUGUACUUCCCUUCUGGAUAAUUAGGAACAGCGGGGGGAAACAGCAGGACAUGGGGGUGGAGCAUUCGUGAUUACAGAGUACAUCCGGGUGACUAGGGACAGGAAAUUGUUCAACCCUGACUUCCUGUUUCACAGGCGUACAAAUAUGAGGGCAAUAAUUAAGAAGCUCCCGUCAACUGGAAAUGUUAUGAAUCAAUCUGGAAUUGGACAUGUGCCUAUAUCGUCUCAAUGCACUGUGAAGAGGACGGUUUGAAUGGACAAAAAAAUCUUCAAGGAUCACAGCUGGAGAACUGCAGAAGUUAGUUGUGUCUUGGGGUCAGAAAGUCUCCAAAACUACAAUCUGAAGUCACCGACAUCUCCACAAGCUGUUUGGAAGGGUUUCAAGAUAAAAGCCUCUACUCUCAUCCAAAAACAAACUCGAGAGUCUUCAGUUUGCCGACACUACUGGAACUUCAAAUGGGAUCGGGUUCUACGGUCAGAUGAAACCAGAAUAGAGCUUUUUGGUAAUAAACACAGAGGUGGUUUUGACGCACAUUACAGGAACCUUUAUAAAUGGAUUAAAG
This is a long non-coding RNA of Ictalurus punctatus (channel catfish), 845 nucleotides long. The record is from Ensembl. NCBI's taxonomy places the organism in Eukaryota, Metazoa, Chordata, Actinopteri, Siluriformes, Ictaluridae.